UGGGGAAUCUUGGACAAUGGGGGCAACCCUGAUCCAGCCAUGCCGCGUGAGUGAUGAAGGCCUUAGGGUCGUAAAGCUCUUUCGCCUGUGAAGAUAAUGACGGUAGCAGGUAAAGAAACCCCGGCUAACUCCGUGCCAGCAGCCGCGGUAAUACGGAGGGGGUUAGCGUUGUUUGGAAUUACUGGGCGUAAAGCGCACGUAGGCGGACCAGAAAGUUGGGGGUGAAAUCCCGGGGCUCAACCCCGGAACUGCCUCCAAAACUAUUGGUCUAGAGUUCGAGAGAGGUGAGUGGAAUUCCAAGUGUAGAGGUGAAAUUCGUAGAUAUUUGGAGGAACACCAGUGGCGAAGGCGGCUCACUGGCUCGAUACUGACGCUGAGGUGCGAAAGUGUGGGGAGCAAACAGGAUUAGAUACCCUGGUAGUCCACACCGUAAAACGAUGAAUGCCAGUCGUCGGGUAGCAUGCUAUUCGGUGACACACCUAACGGAUUAAGCAUUCCGCCUGGGGAGUACGGUCGCAAGAUUAAAA
This 527-nucleotide ribosomal RNA is filed under the name uncultured bacterium. RNAcentral describes it as "bacterial SSU rRNA". It matches the Rfam family "Bacterial small subunit ribosomal RNA", at positions 355 to 899 of the family's 1533-position model. The record is from RNAcentral.